Long non-coding RNA from Hyla sarda, 682 nucleotides. RefSeq lists it as uncharacterized. Lineage: Eukaryota; Metazoa; Chordata; Amphibia; Anura; Hylidae. The transcript is spliced from 3 exons. The record is from RefSeq and is a predicted model, not a curated record.
CACGUGCGGCUAUAAUGUGCUCGGAAUCUUGGAGAGAAGUGCAGAAUGCAGAGUACAGGGAGGGUGUGACAGUCUGCAGAGCCUCUCAGGAGGGAGGUAGAUGAGAUACAGCAUCCACAUAAAGAGCAUCCAGCUCUGAAGUCAUUCCUUCCCCCACUCUUCUCAUGGAUGAUUCUCGGGUUUUCAGUUGUCUCCAGGAAAUAAAUUGAUAACUGGAGAUACAGGUCCAGCAGCAGGUGUGGACAGUGAGCGGAUGGACGGAUUACACUCUUCAUUUCAGUGCAAGGUUCUACCAAGUUACCUGAAGUGCAUCGGGACACACAGAGGAGCCCGGAGUUCACAGCUACAGAUGACGAGCCGCCCGCAGGUUGUGAGGAGCAGUUACACAACCAGCAAUUACUCAGCCCGGAGGCAGCCAUCUCCUACGACACAGUGGCCGCAGCUCACAGGAAUGUCACGCUCCAGCUCAACACCAGUUACCUCCAUUCAUUCCGCUCCCGUCUGCAGGGAAUAUGUGAAACUUUUCUACAAGAGACUGUAAGAACAAAACCCUUGACCCAUCCAUUCUGUCAUCAUCAUAAAGAAAGGGUCAUAAUGGUGGAGGCCACGUCCAUUACUGGAGGUCGGGGUACAUGAAUUAACCCCUUCUUGACACCAAGUCGAAGGAAUAAACACCAGACCG